GUAUAGAUAUAGCUAUCUAGAUGGAGAAUUGAUUGCAUUGCUGCCAUUUUGAAGAGGUGUUUGGAGCAGUGUUUGGAGCAGUGUUUGGAGCAUGGCGAGGUGUUUUGGAGCAGCAUUCAGUGGACCCCAUUCAACACCAAACAACAAGGCAUUGCUUCUCAUAAGUGAAGACGCAGCAGGCUUGAAGAAGCACGCCGCUGGAAUUCUGCACAGGAUGAACGCUGGCAGUACAGACCUACGUGUGAUGUAGAUCAGUGUAACUGCUUUAGAGCACAGCCGGUGAUUUUCUGCCGCUUAUAAAACGCAUACGAUCCGCGAUGAGUAUCCGGAUGCUGCUACUUGUGAUAACGUUGAAGACCUGGAUCUACCAGCAUGCAAUUCUACCGAGACUUUUAUGGAACCUGCUCUUACAUGCAAUUCCCCUGACAACUGUGGAAGCCCUGGAGAAGAAAGUCAGCAGAGAUCUUUGGACAUGGCUUGGUUUGCCCCAGGAGCCUGAACAGUGCUGCUCUGUAUAAGAACA
Long non-coding RNA from Ictalurus punctatus (channel catfish), 523 nucleotides. The record is from Ensembl. NCBI's taxonomy places the organism in Eukaryota, Metazoa, Chordata, Actinopteri, Siluriformes, Ictaluridae.